GGGCCCGUAGUCUAGUUGGCUAGGAUGCCGCCCUGACACGGCGGUGGUCCCGGGUUCGAGUCCCGGCGGGCCCACCA
Molecule: transfer RNA, 77 nt
Filed under: Thermoprotei archaeon
Lineage: Archaea; Thermoproteati; Thermoproteota; Thermoprotei
Also listed under: 2 other names
Description: tRNA-Val
Rfam family: tRNA
About the family: Transfer RNA (tRNA) molecules are approximately 80 nucleotides in length. Their secondary structure includes four short double-helical elements and three loops (D, anti-codon, and T loops).
Source: RNAcentral